GACGAACGCUGGCGGCGUGCUUAACACAUGCAAGUCGAACGGUAAGGCCCUUCGGGGUACACGAGUGGCGAACGGGUGAGUAACACGUGGGUGAUCUGCCCUGCACUUCGGGAUAAGCCUGGGAAACUGGGUCUAAUACCGGAUAGGACUCCGGACUGCAUGGUCUGGGGUGGAAAGCUUUUGCGGUGUGGGAUGGGCCCGCGGCCUAUCAGCUUGUUGGUGGGGUGACGGCCUACCAAGGCGACGACGGGUAGCCGGCCUGAGAGGGUGGCCGGCCACACUGGGACUGAGAUACGGCCCAGACUCCUACGGGAGGCAGCAGUGGGGAAUAUUGCACAAUGGGCGCAAGCCUGAUGCAGCGACGCCGCGUGAGGGAUGACGGCCUUCGGGUUGUAAACCUCUUUCAGCACCGACGAAGCGCAAGUGACGGUAGGUGCAGAAGAAGGACCGGCCAACUACGUGCCAGCAGCCGCGGUAA
RNAcentral lists this ribosomal RNA (478 nucleotides) under uncultured bacterium. RNAcentral's name for it is "partial 16S ribosomal RNA". It matches the Rfam family "Bacterial small subunit ribosomal RNA", at positions 28 to 523 of the family's 1533-position model. The record is from RNAcentral.